CCUCUGUAGCUCAGUUGGUUAGAGCGCUGCACCAGAAUCGCAGGGUCACAGACCGAUUCCUUGGCCAGAGGA
Molecule: non-coding RNA, 72 nt
Organism: Paramuricea clavata
Lineage: Eukaryota; Metazoa; Cnidaria; Anthozoa; Malacalcyonacea; Plexauridae
Source: the annotation of a GenBank genome assembly